GCAACUCGCCUGCAUGAAGCUGGAAUUGCUAGUAAUCGCGGAUCAGCAAGCCGCGGUGAAUACGUUCCCGGGUCUUGUACACACCGCCCGUCACACCAUGAGAGUUGGAAAUACCCGAAGCCUGUGAGCUAACAGUAAUGAGGCAGCAGUCGAAGGUAGAGCCAAUGAUUGGGGUGAAGUCGUAACAAGGUAGC
RNAcentral lists this ribosomal RNA (194 nucleotides) under uncultured bacterium. RNAcentral describes it as "partial 16S ribosomal RNA". It matches the Rfam family "Bacterial small subunit ribosomal RNA", at positions 1307 to 1500 of the family's 1533-position model. The record is from RNAcentral.